Non-coding RNA from Salvia hispanica, 1201 nucleotides. The record is from RefSeq and is a predicted model, not a curated record. Lineage: Eukaryota; Viridiplantae; Streptophyta; Magnoliopsida; Lamiales; Lamiaceae.
CCUGAUAUGCCUAGAUAAGGCGUCAGAUAUAAGUUUUAUCUAGUUUUUGGUUGCCCUGAUAUACUUAUACGAUAACCCGGUAUACAAGCUCUAACCCGGUUUCAAUUAAGAUACAUCCCUCCCAAAUGCUACCCAAGCUGAAGCCUCCGAUAUGCGCUACCUCGGAGAACCAGAUUGCUGCUACCGCACUCCUUUGUCUAAAACACCCCUCGCCAUUGUCGUCAAUCUGGGACACGCAUAGUUUUUCACGAGCCUAGCUUGUCGUUUUGCUUAGCAACAAUUUUCUGUCGGCGCAAAAUUUCUGUUUAACCACCGACCACCGCCGGCUGAAGGUCGGCUGAAGGGAUCUGGUCGACAGGAUGAAAUGACAACCAUUUUGAUUUUGUUAGAAGAGAUUAUACAAAACUAUCAAAUAAACUUGUUGCUCAUCUCCUUUAUGAUCACACUUCUUUGCCCGCAAACACGGAAACGUAAACGUUGGGACCGACUAGGAUAGUCCGAAGUUUUAGAUUCAAUACCUGCCCAUGUACGUCAAUUGGAUCAACCUGUGUGUGUUACAGAUAGGUUUUUGAAAUAGAUUUUACAGCUUGGUUGCUUUUAUGCUUUGUUUAGCUAGAUUGAAGCUUUGGGGCUUUUGCGUCUUAUCUCUCUUUUCUAAAAUUAAUGACCCAAACAUAUGCUAUACAAUGAAUUUGAACUCAUAUUGUAGUUUUUUUUUAUUCAUAUGUUUUUUUUUUAUACACAUUCUACACCAUUGCUCUAAUAGUUGCUGGUGCUAGUAAUCCAUUGAUGAUAUGGGCUUGAUUAUGUAGCUUGUUGAUUCAAAUGCUGAAGUUUGUAUAGAUUUUAAGUCUUGCGACUCAGAGAAAGAGAGCUAGAAUCGCUGACAAGAAGAAGAGGAUCGUCAAGGCCAAGUCAUAAGCUGCUGAGUACCAGAAGCUUCUUGCGACUCGCAUGAAGGAACAGAGGGAUAGGAGCAGUGAGAGUUUGGCCAAGAAGAGUUCUAAACUUUCUACUGCAACAAAACCAUCAGCUGCUGCAUAAUCGACAUCUUCUGCGUUUAUGCUUCUGAAUCUGCUCAUGUCUUCUCAGAACUGAUUGAGUUUUAGAUAAUUUUGAAUCUUUUGCCGAAUGUUACAAAACCAUGAGUUUUGCCUAUUUUGUUUUGGAUAAAUUUUGAGAUGAUACUAUUUUCUUUGAA